RNAcentral lists this ribosomal RNA (465 nucleotides) under Vreelandella stevensii. RNAcentral's name for it is "partial 16S ribosomal RNA". It matches the Rfam family "Bacterial small subunit ribosomal RNA", at positions 338 to 795 of the family's 1533-position model. Lineage: Bacteria; Pseudomonadati; Pseudomonadota; Gammaproteobacteria; Oceanospirillales; Halomonadaceae. The record is from RNAcentral.
CCUACGGGUGGCAGCAGUGGGGAAUAUUGGACAAUGGGGGGAACCCUGAUCCAGCCAUGCCGCGUGUGUGAAGAAGGCCCUCGGGUUGUAAAGCACUUUCAGUGAGGAAGAACGCCUGGUGGUUAAUACCCAUCAGGAAAGACAUCACUCACAGAAGAAGCACCGGCUAACUCCGUGCCAGCAGCCGCGGUAAUACGGAGGGUGCGAGCGUUAAUCGGAAUUACUGGGCGUAAAGCGCGCGUAGGUGGCUUGAUAAGCCGGUUGUGAAAGCCCCGGGCUCAACCUGGGAACGGCAUCCGGAACUGUGAAGCUAGAGUGCAGGAGAGGAAGGUAGAAUUCCCGGUGUAGCGGUGAAAUGCGUAGAGAUCGGGAGGAAUACCAGUGGCGAAGGCGGCCUUCUGGACUGACACUGACACUGAGGUGCGAAAGCGUGGGUAGCAAACAGGAUUAGAUACCCCGGUAGUC